Molecule: ribosomal RNA, 793 nt
Filed under: uncultured bacterium
Lineage: Bacteria
Description: bacterial SSU rRNA
Rfam family: Bacterial small subunit ribosomal RNA
Source: RNAcentral
AGAGUUUGAUCMUGGCUCAGGAUGAACGCUAGCGGCAGGCCUAACACAUGCAAGUCGAGGGGCAGCACGGGUAGCAAUACUUGGUGGCGACCGGCGCACGGGUGAGUAACGCGUAUGCAACCUACCUAUAACAGGGGGAUAGCCCGAAGAAAUUCGGAUUAAAACCGCAUAAUAUUAUUGGAUCGCAUGGUUUGAUGAUAAAAGCUAAGGUGGUUAUAGAUGGGCAUGCGUGACAUUAGAUAGUUGGUGAGGUAACGGCUCACCAAGUCGACGAUGUCUAGGGGGCCUGAGAGGGUAGUCCCCCACACUGGUACUGAGACACGGACCAGACUCCUACGGGAGGCAGCAGUGAGGAAYAUUGCGCAAUGGACGAAAGUCUGACGCAGCCAUGCCGCGUGCAGGAUGACGGCCCUAUGGGUUGUAAACUGCUUUUUUAUAGGAAGAAACUCAUCUACGUGUAGGUGACUGACGGUACUAUAUGAAUAAGCAUCGGCUAACUCCGUGCCAGCAGCCGCGGUAAUACGGAGGAUGCAAGYGUUAUCCGGAUUUAUUGGGUUUAAAGGGUGCGUAGGCGGGGAAUUAAGUCAGUGGUGAAAUACUGCAGCUUAACUGYAGCACUGCCAUUGAUACUGAUUUUCUUGAGUGUGGUUGAAGUAGGCGGAAUGUGUAAUGUAGCGGUGAAAUGCUUAGAGAUUACACAGAACACCGAUUGCGUAGGCAGCUUACUAAGCCAUAACUGACGCUGAGGCACGAAAGUGUGGGGAUCGAACAGGAUUAGAUACCCUGGUAGUCC